Molecule: ribosomal RNA, 1264 nt
Filed under: Picobiliphyte sp. MS584-11
Lineage: Eukaryota; Picozoa
Description: LSU rRNA
Rfam family: Bacterial large subunit ribosomal RNA
Source: RNAcentral
CAUAAUAAACAUAUGAGUAACAAAUGGAAGCCUAGGCAUUCAAGAAUAAGGACGUAAUCAAUUACGAAAGGCCAGCUCAGGUAUACUUUUAGUAUACGAAAACUGAUAUUAGAUAGAAGACCAUUACAAUCGAUAAUCUCUGGAUUUCCUUAAGGGUAAACCCGGUAAUUAAAUCGAUCUAAUUUUUUAGAUCACUAUGAAGCGAAUUGAAAUAUCUUAGUAGCUUCAAGAAAAAACAUCAACCGAGAUUUCGUUAGUAGUGACGAGCGAACGCGAAGUAGGCAGGUUCUAAAUUAUUGUUAUUGAUUUUUUUUGGUAAAUUACUUGGAAUAGUAUGCCAAAGAAGGUGAAAGCCCUGUAUCUUAAAAAAAAAUCAACACAUAAGAACAUUUUAUAAGUAGGACGGAGCACGUGAAACUUUGUCUGAAGAAAGGAGGACUAGACUUCUAAGCCUUAAUAUCAUUGAAUGACCGAUAGUGAAUAAGUACCGUGAGGGAAAGGUGAAACAGAAUCAGUUGACAAUGACGGAUCAAACAUAUGCCAAUAAAUAAAGUGGAGAAAAUUGAUCUUUCGAAUCAAUAUAUAUGAAGUGAAAUAGAUCCUGAAAUUUGUUACUUACAAGCACUAUGAGGGAAAAAAUAUUCCUAAAUGGGUACCUUUUGUAUGAUGGGUCAACAAGUUUAGGACAACAGCAAGCUUAAGACAUUAAGUGUCGUAGGCGUAGAGAAAUCGAGAUCUAAACUAAUCUUUAGUUGUUUUCCUAAGACUCGAAAGCAGGUGAUCGACUCGUGACCAAGUUGAAGCUCUUGUACAAGAGAGCGGAGGACUGAACUCGUCGGCGUGGCAAAGCCGUGAGAUGAGUUGCGAGUAGGGAUGAAAGGUUAAUCAAACCUGCAUAUAGCUAGUUUUUUGCGAAAUAUAUUUUAGUAUAGCGUAAUCUUAUGUUGGCAGGGGGUAUAUCACUCAGUGUACGCGGGGGGCAAAUUGCUUUACUAACUACAAUGAACAUCAGAAUACCUGCCAAUUAAAUUAUAGACAGUGUUAGGGCGAUAAGGUCAUAACACAAGAGAGAAACAGCUCUCAUCCUCUAGUAAGGUCCCAAAAAAUAUCUAAGUUAGAAAAGAAAAAGUUGACAGAAACAUUAUAGCCGUAGGCUUAGAAACAGCCACCGGUUUAAGAACACGUAACAGUGCACAAUAACUAUUAAGUCUCUUUAUUCUAAAAAUGUAACGGGAAUCAAGAUAUUUACCGAACUAGGGAAAUU